CCUACGGGAGGCAGCAGUAGGGAAUCUUCCACAAUGGGCGAAAGCCUGAUGGAGCAACGCCGCGUGGGUGAAGAAGGUCUUCGGAUCGUAAAACCCUGUUGUUAGAGAAGAAAGUGCGUGAGAGUAACUGUUCACGUUUCGACGGUAUCUAACCAGAAAGCCACGGCUAACUACGUGCCAGCAGCCGCGGUAAUACGUAGGUGGCAAGCGUUAUCCGGAUUUAUUGGGCGUAAAGGGAACGCAGGCGGUCUUUUAAGGCUGAUGGGAAAGCCUUCGGCUUAACCGGAGUAGUGCAUUGGAAACUGGGAGACUUGAGUGCAGAAGAGGAGAGUAGAACUCCAUGUGUAGCGGUGAAAUGCGUAGAUAUAUGGAAGAACACCAGUGGCGAAAGCGGCUCUCUGGUCUGUAACUGACGCUGAGGUUCGAAAGCGUGGGUAGCAAACAGGAUUAGAUACCCGAGUAGUC
Molecule: ribosomal RNA, 465 nt
Filed under: uncultured bacterium
Lineage: Bacteria
Description: partial 16S ribosomal RNA
Rfam family: Bacterial small subunit ribosomal RNA
Source: RNAcentral